GGGGAUGGCGGUCGUGAGGGGGCGAUUCGAUUCUUUUUCUCUCUCCCGCUUUCUCCUCCACUACCACCACCGUCACCGGCCGGGUUCUUGAUGCGUGAUUGAAUAUUUUUUCGCUAUGUGCGAUUGGUUCGUCGUAACGGUGGCAGGCAGAAUGGACGAAGGAGGUGGGGAGAGUAGAGAGGGUGGCCUACGGCGACGGCAGCGGCGGCGGUGGCGGCGGUAGUGGUGGUUGCAGCCACCUGUCAAGCAAAAGAAUCGCCAUGGUAACCAGGCCCCGCCGCCAUCGGCCGAAGGGGCUCGUUCGCCGGGGGUGGCGACCCGGACUCGUAGGGAUGCCCGCAAGGUUCAUAUUGAAUUUUAAGAAAGUUUCCAUCGGUAGCGCGGAGAGACGAGCGAACUAUACCCGGACAGAAAGCGAGAAAAGGGUCGCGGAGGUUGCGCUAGCAAGCAUCUCCACAUCUUUACAAUUUACUUUAUUAAAAGAAAAAAAUUUAUCAUUUGCGAUAGAAUUUCAGAUGUUGACGAUCUUAUAUGCACAUAGUAUUUUUUUUAGUUUUUUCCAACGGCUGAUACCAGUGUCAUUAGAACAUAAAGAAAACACAGAUUUAUCUUAUUUUGAUCGAAUGAACAGGGAGAGAAUCUGUAAAAGAGCAAGUCAUAAACUUCUUCACUCAAUGCAAUGUGUGAUUAAAAAUGAGUGGGUUAAACAACUUUGUGCGCGAGGAUGACGCGACGGCAGAACUAAUGGAGACAACGAGACGACUUUCUCCGUCUGCGGGGUCUCCGUGGGGCGGAAAAACACGGCGUCUGAAUUCGCCGGGCGAACCACGCGCGCGGGAAGAGGCCGCAACCCCCCGAGGGUCGAGACCGAGCGAGGGAAAGUGAGGAACAGAGAACCUCGGCCCCCGUGAGGGGGCGACGGGAGGAAUCGGAGGCCCUGUAAUGAUCUUACGGCCCUGGUAACUUUUUUAAUCAGCGCCCGGUUUAAUUAUACGGUCGAUGAGGAGGUACUCGCGCUCCUCCCCCCCCCCCCUCGGUCGCUCUUCUGGUGCUUCAAUCUCCCCGUCGACUCGUUUCGGUUCACCCUCUCUUCUUCCUCCCGACGAUCCCAUCUCCUCGCGUCGAGCCCUCGACGCAGCAGACCCGGUCAGUCGUCCUAACUAGGCACCGACUCGCAAACAAGAUUUGACUUAUUGCGCCCGAGCGAUUUCUCCGGCGUUUUCUCUUGGUCUUCGUUCCACGCGGGCGAGAGCUACGAGAAAACGGGGCAACCGCCUCGGGAAAUUCCGAAAUGCUUUUAAUUGGAAGACCGCGACCGCGAGCCGAUACCGCGAUGAUCAGGGAGCGCAGAAUGGACGCGGAUCCACGCCUCUUGAUGGAGAAUUCGCCGAUGAAGUGCAUUAUCGUUAAUUAGCGAGCACGCUCGGGAACGAUCUCUUUCCCGCUUUCCCUUCUUUUGUUUCUUAAGUAAUAUGUAUUUACUUUUGAUGAUCAUCCUAUUCGAUACGCUUUUAAUAUGCAUAUGUUAUGAACUUUUAUUAUCAUUUUGAAAGGAAAGCUCUUCUCAUUUACCUCAUUUACAUUGCGAACUAAUAGGCACCAUGAGCUGUCACAAUUUUAAAAUGAGAAAGAAUACGAUGACGGAGCAUUCCUAUUAUAGUUGGAAUGGCAAAUACAGUCCAUCACAAGUAA
RNAcentral lists this long non-coding RNA (1692 nucleotides) under Monomorium pharaonis (pharaoh ant). Its description in RNAcentral is "uncharacterized LOC118644606". Lineage: Eukaryota; Metazoa; Arthropoda; Insecta; Hymenoptera; Formicidae. The record is from RNAcentral.